AGUGAAGGUAGAGGUGCGAGCUUCAAGAGUAAUGGUUCUGAGAAGGAUGAGCUUCUAAGACGGAUCAUGAAAGGGAAUGUUCGCCGAAGUAAAGAAAAUCUCAUUUCUUUCUUUGCUGGUCCUGUAUUGAAUAAAUGCCGGAUUGUCAGGACGAAUGUCUUGGAGAGCUAUCUUACAU
Molecule: non-coding RNA, 178 nt
Organism: Bacillus sp. OV166
Lineage: Bacteria; Bacillati; Bacillota; Bacilli; Caryophanales; Bacillaceae
Source: Rfam